RNAcentral lists this transfer RNA (69 nucleotides) under Gerres erythrourus. RNAcentral's name for it is "tRNA-His". It matches the Rfam family "tRNA". Rfam says of the family: Transfer RNA (tRNA) molecules are approximately 80 nucleotides in length. Lineage: Eukaryota; Metazoa; Chordata; Actinopteri; Gerreiformes; Gerreidae. The record is from RNAcentral. RNAcentral also lists the same sequence under 1 other name.
GUCGAUAUAGUUUAGACAAAACGCUAGAUUGUGGAUCUAGAGACAGAAGUUAAAGUCUUCUUAUUAACC